This 253-nucleotide ribosomal RNA is filed under the name uncultured bacterium. RNAcentral describes it as "partial 16S ribosomal RNA". It matches the Rfam family "Bacterial small subunit ribosomal RNA", at positions 524 to 776 of the family's 1533-position model. The record is from RNAcentral.
UACGUAGGGGGCAAGCGUUGUCCGGAAUCAUUGGGCGUAAAGCGCACGUAGGCGGCUUUGUAAGUCAGAGGUGAAAGCCUGGAGCUCAACUCCAGAACUGCCUUUGAGACUGCAUCGCUUGAAUCCAGGAGAGGUGAGUGGAAUUCCGAGUGUAGAGGUGAAAUUCGUAGAUAUUAGGAAGAACACCAGUGGCGAAGGCGGCUCACUGGACUGGUAUUGACGCUGAGGUGCGAAAGCGUGGGGAGCAAACAGG